Neofelis nebulosa (Clouded leopard) is the source of this 544-nucleotide long non-coding RNA. RefSeq lists it as uncharacterized. The record is from RefSeq and is a predicted model, not a curated record. Lineage: Eukaryota; Metazoa; Chordata; Mammalia; Carnivora; Felidae. The transcript has 4 exons.
CAAAAAACACUGACCUAGACCACUAUCGUAAAGCUACCUAGAGACAAAAAACACUUACAAUAAAACACACGCCAUUGCGUGACUAACGCCAACUACCACAGGUACGGUAUUUCCGCCUUCUCCGCAGUUUUGCUUUCCGCGGAUUCCGUUACCCCUGGCAACUGGCAUCCGGAAGCGGAUGAUCCUCCCGACGCAGCGUCAGGUCCGGGGUAGCCUAACACUGUGUCCCAAACGCCUGGGUCGUUCGUUUCUCUUCAUCUCUUCUCGAAGGCAUUUUAUCGUCUCACAUCAUCGCAAGCAGGGUGCUGCUGCUUGAUGCUUUUUGAUAGCAAAUGAGAGAAAACCAAGAAAAAACGCUCAUUGUGCAUUAAGUCAUCUGCCCUCGCUGCAAAGAAUUUCCAAAAGAAAUUUCUUCUUUCAGAAGGUCAGAUUUGACUGCACCAUCACCACAGAGUAAUUGCUUUUCCACACCAAGCAAGUAAAAGAUGAAGUAAAUGUGCCCAGAAGAGUUUGGAACCUCAAUAAAAUAUUUCUAAGAAUAUGA